CCUACGGUGAGCAGCAGUGGGGAAUAUUGGACAAUGGGCGAAAGCCUGAUCCAGCCAUGCCGCGUGUGUGAAGAAGGCCUUCGGGUUGUAAAGCACUUUCAGUGGGGAAGAAAGCCUUGGGGCUAAUACCCUCGAGGAAGGACAUCACCCACAGAAGAAGCACCGGCUAACUCCGUGCCAGCAGCCGCGGUAAUACGGAGGGUGCGAGCGUUAAUCGGAAUUACUGGGCGUAAAGCGCGCGUAGGCGGUCUGAUAAGCCGGUUGUGAAAGCCCCGGGCUCAACCUGGGAACGGCAUCCGGAACUGUCAGGCUAGAGUGCAGGAGAGGAAGGUAGAAUUCCCGGUGUAGCGGUGAAAUGCGUAGAGAUCGGGAGGAAUACCAGUGGCGAAGGCGGCCUUCUGGACUGACACUGACGCUGAGGUGCGAAAGCGUGGGUAGCAAACAGGAUUAGAUACCCCUGUAGUC
RNAcentral lists this ribosomal RNA (465 nucleotides) under Vreelandella stevensii. RNAcentral describes it as "partial 16S ribosomal RNA". It matches the Rfam family "Bacterial small subunit ribosomal RNA", at positions 338 to 795 of the family's 1533-position model. The record is from RNAcentral. Lineage: Bacteria; Pseudomonadati; Pseudomonadota; Gammaproteobacteria; Oceanospirillales; Halomonadaceae.